RNAcentral lists this ribosomal RNA (490 nucleotides) under Pseudomonas cedrina subsp. fulgida. Its description in RNAcentral is "bacterial SSU rRNA". It matches the Rfam family "Bacterial small subunit ribosomal RNA", at positions 8 to 494 of the family's 1533-position model. Lineage: Bacteria; Pseudomonadati; Pseudomonadota; Gammaproteobacteria; Pseudomonadales; Pseudomonadaceae. The record is from RNAcentral.
AGAGUUUGAUCCUGGCUCAGAUUGAACGCUGGCGGCAGGCCUAACACAUGCAAGUCGAGCGGUAGAGAGAAGCUUGCUUCUCUUGAGAGCGGCGGACGGGUGAGUAAUGCCUAGGAAUCUGCCUGGUAGUGGGGGAUAACGUUCGGAAACGGACGCUAAUACCGCAUACGUCCUACGGGAGAAAGCAGGGGACCUUCGGGCCUUGCGCUAUCAGAUGAGCCUAGGUCGGAUUAGCUAGUUGGUGAGGUAAUGGCUCACCAAGGCGACGAUCCGUAACUGGUCUGAGAGGAUGAUCAGUCACACUGGAACUGAGACACGGUCCAGACUCCUACGGGAGGCAGCAGUGGGGAAUAUUGGACAAUGGGCGAAAGCCUGAUCCAGCCAUGCCGCGUGUGUGAAGAAGGUCUUCGGAUUGUAAAGCACUUUAAGUUGGGAGGAAGGGUUGUAGAUUAAUACUCUGCAAUUUGGACGUACCGACAGAAUAAGCACC